Molecule: ribosomal RNA, 509 nt
Filed under: Vreelandella titanicae
Lineage: Bacteria; Pseudomonadati; Pseudomonadota; Gammaproteobacteria; Oceanospirillales; Halomonadaceae
Description: bacterial SSU rRNA
Rfam family: Bacterial small subunit ribosomal RNA
Source: RNAcentral
UCCUGGCUCAGAUUGAACGCUGGCGGCAGGCCUAACACAUGCAAGUCGAGCGGUAACAGGGGUAGCUUGCUACCCGCUGACGAGCGGCGGACGGGUGAGUAAUGCAUAGGAAUCUGCCCGAUAGUGGGGGAUAACCUGGGGAAACCCAGGCUAAUACCGCAUACGUCCUACGGGAGAAAGGGGGCUCCGGCUCCCGCUAUUGGAUGAGCCUAUGUCGGAUUAGCUAGUUGGUAAGGUAAUGGCUUACCAAGGCAACGAUCCGUAGCUGGUCUGAGAGGAUGAUCAGCCACAUCGGGACUGAGACACGGCCCGAACUCCUACGGGAGGCAGCAGUGGGGAAUAUUGGACAAUGGGGGCAACCCUGAUCCAGCCAUGCCGCGUGUGUGAAGAAGGCCCUCGGGUUGUAAAGCACUUUCAGCGAGGAAGAACGCCUAUCGGUUAAUACCCGGUAGGAAAGACAUCACUCGCAGAAGAAGCACCGGCUAACUCCGUGCCAGCAGCCGCGGUAA